UACGAAGGGGGCUAGCGUUGUUCGGAUUUACUGGGCGUAAAGCGCACGUAGGCGGAUCGUUAAGUUAGGGGUGAAAUCCCAGGGCUCAACCCUGGAACUGCCUUUAAUACUGGCGAUCUAGAGUCCGGAAGAGGUGAGUGGAACUCCUAGUGUAGAGGUGGAAUUCGUAGAUAUUAGGAAGAACACCAGUGGCGAAGGCGGCUCACUGGCCCGGUACUGACGCUGAGGUGCGAAAGCGUGGGGAGCAAACAGG
Molecule: ribosomal RNA, 253 nt
Filed under: uncultured bacterium
Lineage: Bacteria
Description: partial 16S ribosomal RNA
Rfam family: Bacterial small subunit ribosomal RNA
Source: RNAcentral